Long non-coding RNA from Hemicordylus capensis (graceful crag lizard), 415 nucleotides. RefSeq lists it as uncharacterized. The record is from RefSeq and is a predicted model, not a curated record. The transcript has 2 exons. NCBI's taxonomy places the organism in Eukaryota, Metazoa, Chordata, Lepidosauria, Squamata, Cordylidae.
CUGGCAAGCCCCAGGAAGAAGGCUGGCAGUCAGAGUGGCCACUACAGUUUUCUGCAGCAGACCCUCUUCCCAGGCCAGACAGCUCAGCCUUUGCCAGGGUAAAUCUGGCCAACAUGUGACUGCAGCACCUCCAUUCCAGAGGAGAAGUGUGUUAAAGGGCUUUAAAAGCCUCUUGUGAAAAACCUCCUGGAAUCAAACUUUACUGAAUUGGUUCAGAAUUCUGAGAAAACAAACACAGGCUCACCCUGCAUGGUUGAAAGUCUCCUUUGCUAAUCUGCAGCAAGGGGCCCAUUUUAAUAAUUAGUGUUUCUAGUGUCUUCUCAUUUGCUCAAUUUUGUACAUCUGUUUUUUGUAUGUUUUGAAUGAGGACAGAAAUGUCAGAAUAAAAGUCCCCUGCUAACUGGGCAAAGAGGCA